ACACGCAUGACACACUGCAUAUCAAUAAGCGGAGGAAAAGAAACUAACUAGGAUUCCCUUAGUAACGGCGAGUGAAGCGGGAAGAGCUCAAAUUUGAAAUCUUCAAGGUUCUACCUUGACGAAUUGUAGUUUAAAGAAGUGUUUUCUGUUGGAGUUUUGGUAAAAGCUCUUUGGAAUAGGACAUCAUAGAGGGUGAGAAUCCCGUAUUUGACCAUUUCUUCCAGCUGUGUGAUACACUUUCAAAGAGUCGGAUUGUUUGGGAAUGCAGUCCAAAAUGGGUGGUAAAUUUCAUCUAAAGCUAAAUACUGGCGAGAGACCGAUAGCGGACAAGUACCGUGAGGGAAAGAUGAAAAGAACUUUGAAAAGAGAGUUAAACAGUACGUGAAAUUGUCAAAAGGGAAGCGUUUGACACCAGUGUUGUUUUUCCGAAAAUCAAUUACGAAUGUUUUGUUUUUGAGAAGUUAUGACUUCAUCGGCUUGCUUCUUUCUUUACGAAACUUUCUUAAUGCACUUUUCGGUUAACAAGUCAACAUCAAUUUCUUUUGUUGUAAAAGGGUCAUUGGAAGGUGGCUUUCUUUUCGGAGAAAGUGUUUAUAGCCUUUGAUCUCUGCAACCGGAGAGACUGAGGUCUGCAGCGUAGACUCUUCGGGGUUAGAUACAUUUGUGCUAAGCUAUAGCUUUUUAUAGACAACUUGUUGACUAUGUUAAGUCUUGUAACUUACUCGCAGUAUGCUAUUUUACCUACGCUUAGGAUGUUGACUGAUAUGUAGUCGUA
Molecule: ribosomal RNA, 775 nt
Filed under: uncultured Neocallimastigales
Lineage: Eukaryota; Fungi; Neocallimastigomycota; Neocallimastigomycetes; Neocallimastigales
Description: partial large subunit ribosomal RNA
Rfam family: Eukaryotic large subunit ribosomal RNA
Source: RNAcentral